GAGCGGCGAACGGGUGAGUAACAUAUCGGAACGUGUCCUUUAGUGGGGGAUAACGCAGCGAAAGCUGUGCUAAUACCGCAUACGAUCGGGAGAUGAAAGCGGGGGAUCGCAAGACCUCGCGCUAAAGGAGUGGCCGAUAUCAGAUUAGCUAGUUGGUGAGGUAAAGGCUCACCAAGGCGACGAUCUGUAGCUGGUCUGAGAGGAUGAUCAGCCACACUGGAACUGAGACACGGUCCAGACUCCUACGGGAGGCAGCAGUGGGGAAUUUUGGACAAUGGGGGCAACCCUGAUCCAGCCAUUCCGCGUGAGUGAAGAAGGCCUUCGGGUUGUAAAGCUCUUUUGUCGGGGACGAAACGGUUACGAUUAAUACUCGUGACAACUGACGGUACCCGAAGAAUAAGCACUGGCUAACUACGUGCCAGCAGCCGCGGUAAUACGUAGGGUGCGAGCGUUAAUCGGAAUUACUGGGCGUAAAGCGUGCGUAGGCGGUUUUAUAAGCCAGAUGUGAAAUCCCCGGGCUUAACCUGGGAAUGGCAUUUGGGACUGUAAGGCUAGAGUAUGGCAGAGGAGACUAGAAUUCCUGGUGUAGCAGUGAAAUGCGUAGAUAUCAGGAGGAAUACCGAUGGCGAAGGCAGGUCUCUGGGUCAAUACUGACGCUCAUGCACGAAAGCGUGGGG
RNAcentral lists this ribosomal RNA (677 nucleotides) under uncultured bacterium. RNAcentral describes it as "bacterial SSU rRNA". It matches the Rfam family "Bacterial small subunit ribosomal RNA", at positions 93 to 766 of the family's 1533-position model. The record is from RNAcentral.